UAAGUAAGGUCAUGCCCUUAAAUUGAAGGU
RNAcentral lists this non-coding RNA (30 nucleotides) under Mus musculus (house mouse). Lineage: Eukaryota; Metazoa; Chordata; Mammalia; Rodentia; Muridae. The record is from RNAcentral.